AUCCUCCUAAUGUAUAGGUUCCUUCUGUUGUAUAGCCUCUUCUUGCAUCGACUUGUUUGCCUCUUGUACAAACUCCUAAUCAUGAUGCCGCUAGCAAGCAAACUCACUCUUUUUUUAGAGCGAUGUUGUCAGUCCAAUUCUUCCAAUAGAAGGAUCUCUAGAAAGAUAUGAUGUAGAAGCUCGUGUGAAACACACACAAUUUUUUC
RNAcentral lists this long non-coding RNA (206 nucleotides) under Cicer arietinum (chickpea). Its description in RNAcentral is "long non-coding RNA (CARI_LNC002488)". The record is from RNAcentral. Lineage: Eukaryota; Viridiplantae; Streptophyta; Magnoliopsida; Fabales; Fabaceae.